UCGGAUCAAAGCUACUUGCUUUUGUCAAAUUCGUAACUUAAAGUCCAUAUCCAUCCCUGUUCCGAGGCAAACAAAGUAGGAACAACUUUUAUUAGAAAAACAUCGGAUCUUGACGGUUUAUAUAUAUAUAUAUGUGUAGAUUAAAGAAAGUUGAUUUUUUUUUUUUUUUUUUUUGUUCAUACGGUAACAAAAUUUAACCUUUUACACGGAAAUACAUGAUAUCAUAGAGUAUAGCUAAAAAUAAAGGGGCAAACAAGAUGAACUUAUCAAUUAUUGAUGGUAAUAGAGGAAAGCCAGGGAAUCUUCUCUGCCACUUAUAUUAUCUCAUUUUUCACCACUCGACAUGUUUUACACAGAAUUCAAAAAAUGGAUCAAGCAUAAAAAUCAAGCUAAUCUGAAGAAGAAAAUAAGAAUUUAAGUUCUGGACAUAUUUUUAAAAAAUUAUACAGUUAAAUUAUCAGAAAAUAAUAUUGAUAAAUUUCUAUGAUAAAUAUGCAAUUGAUAGCAUGAAAAAAUUUAAUAGUUACAGACAUGCCAUCACAAGCUAAACUACAUUAAAAGGGCAACCCGGAGCUCUAAACUCCCGCUAUGCGAGGGGUUUAGGUAAAGGCUAGACCACAAGGGUUUAUUGUACGCAGCCUUAUCCUGCAUUUCUAAAAAUAACUGUUUUCACGACUCAAACUCAUAACCUCCAGAUCACAUGGCGGCAACUUUACCAGUUAUGCCAAUGCUCCUCUUCUAAUCUACAUUGAUAAUAUUGAAAAAGAAAACGUGUUCAGCAAGACUGUAGUUAAUUUAGUUUGGUUAAUUACUUUACUAUAAUUAGCUCCUACCAGUAAGAAGUGGCAUUGAAAGAGUGAUUGAAACCUGUCCUGAGGAGGGCGUCAAAACCAAGGUCGUCGGACUAUUGCUGAGCAGUUUUUGAAUAUCAAACAUAUUUCCUGAUAAUUAAUAUAUAAGU
Long non-coding RNA from Lycium ferocissimum, 961 nucleotides. RefSeq lists it as uncharacterized. The record is from RefSeq and is a predicted model, not a curated record. The transcript is spliced from 2 exons. NCBI's taxonomy places the organism in Eukaryota, Viridiplantae, Streptophyta, Magnoliopsida, Solanales, Solanaceae.